RNAcentral lists this ribosomal RNA (3146 nucleotides) under Streptomyces chartreusis. RNAcentral describes it as "23S ribosomal RNA". It matches the Rfam family "Bacterial large subunit ribosomal RNA". The record is from RNAcentral. Lineage: Bacteria; Bacillati; Actinomycetota; Actinomycetes; Kitasatosporales; Streptomycetaceae.
ACAGUGGACGCGAGCAUCUGUGGCCAAGUUUUUAAGGGCGCACGGUGGAUGCCUUGGCACCAGGAACCGAUGAAGGACGUGGGAGGCCACGAUAGUCCCCGGGGAGUCGUCAACCAGGCUUUGAUCCGGGGGUUUCCGAAUGGGGAAACCCGGCAGUCGUCAUGGGCUGUCACCCUUGUCUGAACACAUAGGGCAAGUGGAGGGAACGCGGGGAAGUGAAACAUCUCAGUACCCGCAGGAAGAGAAAACAACCGUGAUUCCGGGAGUAGUGGCGAGCGAAACUGGAUGAGGCCAAACCGUAUACGUGUGAGACCCGGCAGGGGUUGCGUAUGCGGGGUUGUGGGAUCUCUCUUUCACAGUCUGCCGGCUGUGAGACGAGUCAGAAACCGUUGAUGUAGGCGAAGGACAUGCGAAAGGUCCGGCGUAGAGGGUAAGACCCCCGUAGUCGAAACAUCAGCGGCUCGUUUGAGAGACACCCAAGUAGCACGGGGCCCGAGAAAUCCCGUGUGAAUCUGGCGGGACCACCCGCUAAGCCUAAAUAUUCCCUGGUGACCGAUAGCGGAUAGUACCGUGAGGGAAUGGUGAAAAGUACCCCGGGAGGGGAGUGAAAUAGUACCUGAAACCGUGUGCCUACAAGCCGUGGGAGCGUCGGAUAUGUGCUUGCACAUAUCUCGUGACUGCGUGCCUUUUGAAGAAUGAGCCUGCGAGUUUGCGGUGUGUUGCGAGGUUAACCCGUGUGGGGAAGCCGUAGCGAAAGCGAGUCCGAAUAGGGCGGUAUAGUAGCGCGCUCAAGACCCGAAGCGGAGUGAUCUAGCCAUGGGCAGGUUGAAGCGGAGGUAAGACUUCGUGGAGGACCGAACCCACCAGGGUUGAAAACCUGGGGGAUGACCUGUGGUUAGGGGUGAAAGGCCAAUCAAACUCCGUGAUAGCUGGUUCUCCCCGAAAUGCAUUUAGGUGCAGCGUCGUGUGUUUCUUGCCGGAGGUAGAGCACUGGAUAGGCGAUGGGCCCUACCGGGUUACUGACCUUAGCCAAACUCCGAAUGCCGGUAAGUGAGAGCGCGGCAGUGAGACUGUGGGGGAUAAGCUCCAUGGUCGAGAGGGAAACAGCCCAGAGCAUCGACUAAGGCCCCUAAGCGUACGCUAAGUGGGAAAGGAUGUGGAGUCGCAGAGACAACCAGGAGGUUGGCUUAGAAGCAGCCACCCUUGAAAGAGUGCGUAAUAGCUCACUGGUCUAGUGAUUCCGCGCCGACAAUGUAGCGGGGCUCAAGCGUACCGCCGAAGUCGUGUCAUUGCAGCAAUACUCCCAACGGAGGCUGUGAUGGGUAGGGGAGCGUCGUGUGCCGGGUGAAGCCGCGCCGGAAGGCAGUGGUGGACGGUUCACGAGUGAGAAUGCAGGCAUGAGUAGCGAUUCACACGUGAGAAACGUGUGCGCCGAUUGACUAAGGGUUCCUGGGUCAAGCUGAUCUGCCCAGGGUAAGUCGGGACCUAAGGCGAGGCCGACAGGCGUAGUCGAUGGAUAACCGGUUGAUAUUCCGGUACCCGCUGUGAAGCGUCAAACAUCGAACCCAUUAAUGCUAAGGCCGUGAAGCCGCCCUGGAGCCUUCGGGCAAAGGGGAGUGGUGGAGCCGCCGAACCAAGGUGGUAGUAGGUGAGUGAUGGGGUGACGCAGGAAGGUAGUCCAUCCCGGGCGGUGGUUGUCCCGGGGUAAGGGUGUAGGACGUCAGGUAGGCAAAUCCGCCUGACAUGUGUCUGAGACCUGAUGCCGAGCCGAUUGUGGUGAAGUGGAUGAUCCUAUGCUGUCGAGAAAAGCCUCUAGCGAGUUUCAUGGCGGCCCGUACCCUAAACCGACUCAGGUGGUCAGGUAGAGAAUACCGAGGCGUUCGGGUGAACUAUGGUUAAGGAACUCGGCAAAAUGCCCCCGUAACUUCGGGAGAAGGGGGGCCACGUCCGGUGAUUGGAUUUACUCCAUGAGCUGGGGGUGGCCGCAGAGACCAGCGAGAAGCGACUGUUUACUAAAAACACAGGUCCGUGCGAAGCCGUAAGGCGAUGUAUACGGACUGACGCCUGCCCGGUGCUGGAACGUUAAGGGGACCGGUUAGCUCCAUUUCGGUGGGGCGAAGCUGAGAACUUAAGCGCCAGUAAACGGCGGUGGUAACUAUAACCAUCCUAAGGUAGCGAAAUUCCUUGUCGGGUAAGUUCCGACCUGCACGAAUGGCGUAACGACUUCUCGACUGUCUCAACCAUAGGCCCGGUGAAAUUGCACUACGAGUAAAGAUGCUCGUUUCGCGCAGCAGGACGGAAAGACCCCGGGACCUUUACUACAGUUUGAUAUUGGUGUUCGGUUCGGCUUGUGUAGGAUAGCUGGGAGACUGUGAACUCUGGACGCCAGUUCAGGGGGAGUCGUCGUUGAAAUACCAGUCUGGUCGUGCUGGAUGUCUAACCUGGGUCCGUGAUCCGGAUCAGGGACAGUGUCUGAUGGGUAGUUUAACUGGGGCGGUUGCCUCCUAAAGAGUAACGGAGGCGCCCAAAGGUUCCCUCAGCCUGGUUGGCAAUCAGGUGUUGAGUGUAAGUGCACAAGGGAGCUUGACUGUGAGACCGACGGGUCGAGCAGGGACGAAAGUCGGGACUAGUGAUCCGGCGGUGGCUUGUGGAAGCGCCGUCGCUCAACGGAUAAAAGGUACCCCGGGGAUAACAGGCUGAUCUUCCCCAAGAGUCCAUAUCGACGGGAUGGUUUGGCACCUCGAUGUCGGCUCGUCGCAUCCUGGGGCUGGAGUCGGUCCCAAGGGUUGGGCUGUUCGCCCAUUAAAGCGGUACGCGAGCUGGGUUUAGAACGUCGUGAGACAGUUCGGUCCCUAUCCGCUGCGCGCGCAGGAAUAUUGAGAAGGGCUGUCCCUAGUACGAGAGGACCGGGACGGACGAACCUCUGGUGUGCCAGUUGUUCUGCCAAGGGCAUGGCUGGUUGGCUACGUUCGGGAGGGAUAACCGCUGAAAGCAUCUAAGCGGGAAGCCUGCUUCGAGAUGAGUAUUCCCACCCACUUGAUGGGGUAAGGCUCCCAGUAGACGACUGGGUUGAUAGGCCGGAUCUGGAAGCACGGUAACGUGUGGAGGUGACCGGUACUAAUAGGCCGAGGGCUUGUCCUCAGUUG